AUUCGUCACUUCAGUGAAUCAGCACAAUAAGACAACACGUUUAAUUGAAAUCAGAGAACCAUACAGUUGCAAAAAAAUGGCUUCUGCUGCAGGAUCACACAAAGAAACUGAUUUGGACAUCAAGGCGCGAAGAGCAAUGGAACGCGUUUCGGAAAACAUGCACGUUGUAGCCAAUGAACCCAGCUUGGCUUUGUACCGCCUUCAAGAACAUGUCCGAAAAGCGCUACCCUUUAUGGUGGAGAAACGCAUUGAAUUUGGACAACUCCACGAGCAACUGCAGGGACGAUGCUACGACGCUGACUACGCCGUCAGUGCCGUCAAUGAGAUUACCAAGGCCAAGGAUCCUUUUGAAGCUUGUGCGGCAUCGUUGAAAAACGCAAUCUUUUAUCGACAACAGCUGCGCUAUCGUGACUCGCGAAAUUUGGCCAAUUUGUCCCCAUUGAGUUGACUGCCUGAUUGUCCGGAGAGUCCAAAUUUUUUUUUUUCCGGUACAAAAAUAUCUGUUCUUGUUAACAAAAGAAGAGCCAAUCCAUGUACAAGCGCUUCUCAGCGUCGGAGCCGUCGACGGAUAGCGAAUUACCACCGCCCGGACCAACCAGGCCGCAAAGCAGUAUUUAUCAGUCGUGAAUUCUACUUCUUUGACCACAUUUUACACCUGAUUAUUUGGUUGGUUCGACAAGAGAAUACCAACUGCUUCACCGCCCACCACAAGGAUGUAAAACUUUAUACACUUGACUUGUAACGAAUAUUAAAUACGACUAACCUUCGACUAUA
This is an RNA transcript of Daphnia magna, 774 nucleotides long. It is a transcript of the gene named BLOC-1-related complex subunit 8 homolog, with no coding region annotated. The record is from RefSeq and is a predicted model, not a curated record. The transcript is spliced from 5 exons. Lineage: Eukaryota; Metazoa; Arthropoda; Branchiopoda; Diplostraca; Daphniidae.